UGAGAUUUUUGGGUUUUCUUGGUGCUAUAUUUGGAGGCAGGGUGUUUUUGGACCUGAGACACAUACUCCAUCCUACUCCACUGGAUUUGACACCUUCCAUACCAUAUUUGAAUGUGAUUAGGUAAGUUUUGACAUUGGAAUUGGGUAAAUCUUAAUCUUAAGUGCUGAAAUGUUGGAAUUGAUGGAUUUUAGUGAAUUUUUAUGUUCAGAUUUUGUUUGUAGAUCAUUGCUGGCUGAGGGCAGGUUCGGCUUGUUAGGAAAUAUAUGCAUCUGCAUGUGCAUUUAAUGCAGCGGAAAUAAAUUUUAUUUUAAAAUAUGAUCCAAUCAUGUAUAUUUUAAUAUCAUAACAUUUAUGAUAUUAGUAUAUAUAUAUGUACCAAGAUCAUCUCGUGUGACACACAAAAAUUAUUAUUCUAAUCUAAUUAGAAGAAGGGUUCGAAUUUCAACCUGUGCAAAUUACCGAAAUUAUUUCACGGUUGAUGUGGAUCUGAACUUCUGGUCCUUUAAGCCGCACAAGUGUUCGGCCUCUAUGUAUAUCCACACAAGGCUGCUCCGGGAUCUGUGCUUCACACAAUUACAGUGUAAUCUCGAAACUCCUUUCAUGAUCUCUUGUGUUAAUGUGGAGAAAAAUUAAUCCUCAAAAUUGUGCUAGCAAUUUGAAGAGGAUCAACUAUAGAGACCAAAUAAUAUAGGAGGACCACUCUCUUAUGAUCAAAAGAGAAUUCUAUAUACGAUAAAAACUCUCUUUUUCUCUCGUACUUUAUUACAAAUCACACACACACACACUAUUUCAUCAUUGGAAGAUGCUUUUAUUUAUGGGUUGGGCAAAAGACGAGUUAGAGGUGGAGGAGCGUUCUCAUAAUUAAUGAAACAUUCAUUUCACCACAAUGAAUAAAGCAUCUCU
Molecule: long non-coding RNA, 904 nt
Filed under: Ananas comosus (pineapple)
Lineage: Eukaryota; Viridiplantae; Streptophyta; Magnoliopsida; Poales; Bromeliaceae
Description: long non-coding RNA (ACOM_LNC043819)
Source: RNAcentral